This 253-nucleotide ribosomal RNA is filed under the name uncultured bacterium. RNAcentral describes it as "partial 16S ribosomal RNA". It matches the Rfam family "Bacterial small subunit ribosomal RNA", at positions 524 to 776 of the family's 1533-position model. The record is from RNAcentral.
UACGUAGGGGGCUAGCGUUGUUCGGAAUUACUGGGCGUAAAGCGCGUGUAGGCGGCCCGGAAAGUCGGAUGUGAAAGCCCUGGGCUUAACCCAGGAAGUGCAUUCGAAACUCCCGGGCUUGAGUUCUGGAGAGGAAGGCGGAAUUCUCGGUGUAGAGGUGAAAUUCGUAGAUAUCGAGAGGAACACCGGUGGCGAAGGCGGCCUUCUGGACAGUGACUGACGCUGAGACGCGAAAGCGUGGGGAGCAAACAGG